AGUCACACUGGGAAUGAGACACGGUCCAGAAUCCUACGGGAGGGCAGCAGUGGGGAAUUUUUGCACAAUGGGGCGAAAGCCCUGAUGCAGCGACGCCCGCGUGCGGGAAGAAGGCCUUCGGGUUUGUAAACCCGCUUUCAACAGGGAAGAAGGAAUGAGAGCUAAUACCUCUCUGCCUUGACGGUACCUGUAGAAGAAGCACCGGCUAAUUUCGUGCCAGCAGCCGCGGUAAUACGAAAGGUGCAAGCGUUGUUCGGAUUUACUGGGCGUAAAGAGAUCGUAGUGGCUUGUUAAGUCGGAUGUGAAAUCCCGGGGCUCAACCCCGGAACUGCAUCCGAUACUGGCAGCUUGAGUUUGGGAGGGGUAAGCGGAAUUCCGUGUGGUAGCAGUGAAAUGCGUAGAUAUACCGAAGGAACACCUGAAGGCGAAGCGGCUUACUGGACCAU
RNAcentral lists this ribosomal RNA (446 nucleotides) under uncultured bacterium. RNAcentral's name for it is "bacterial SSU rRNA". It matches the Rfam family "Bacterial small subunit ribosomal RNA", at positions 306 to 737 of the family's 1533-position model. The record is from RNAcentral.